This 253-nucleotide ribosomal RNA is filed under the name uncultured bacterium. Its description in RNAcentral is "partial 16S ribosomal RNA". It matches the Rfam family "Bacterial small subunit ribosomal RNA", at positions 524 to 776 of the family's 1533-position model. The record is from RNAcentral.
UACGUAGGGGGCAAGCGUUGUCCGGAUUUAUUGGGCGUAAAGCGCGUGUAGGCGGCCCGGUAAGUCCGCUGUGAAAGUCGGGGGCUCAACCCUCGGAUGCCGGUGGAUACUGUCGGGCUAGAGUCCGGAAGAGGCGAGUGGAAUUCCUGGUGUAGCGGUGGAAUGCGCAGAUAUCAGGAGGAACACCGAUAGCGAAGGCAGCUCGCUGGGACGGUACUGACGCUGAGGUGCGAAAGCGUGGGGAGCGAACAGG